This 253-nucleotide ribosomal RNA is filed under the name uncultured bacterium. Its description in RNAcentral is "partial 16S ribosomal RNA". It matches the Rfam family "Bacterial small subunit ribosomal RNA", at positions 524 to 776 of the family's 1533-position model. The record is from RNAcentral.
UACAGAGGGUGCGAGCGUUAUUCGGAAUUACUGGGCGUAAAGCGCUCGUAGGCGGCUACGUAAGUCGGGUGUGAAAGCCCCGGGCUCAACCUGGGAAUUGCAUUCGAGACUGCAUUGCUUGAGUACGGAAGAGGAAGGCGGAAUUCCCGGUGUAGCGGUGAAAUGCGUAGAUAUCGGGAGGAACAUCAGUGGCGAAGGCGGCCUUCUGGGCCAGUACUGACACUCAAGUGCGAAAGCGUGGGGAGCAAACAGG